UUUUGGUGCCUCUCCACUCCCAAACAGGUAACCCAAGGAACUUUGUCCUCCACCACUGCUAACUCCACGACCCAUUCUCUACAACUCCUUAGAUACAAAUCCAAACUCUGACCAUUCCAGGCAGAUGAUAGAAAGCAAACAGCAGGAAUGUAAUAAAUCAAGAACAAGAAAGAACAGAAAAUGUUAGAAGCUAUAAUGUUGGAGGAUUCUAACUGUGGGGAGUUGGCACAUCAAGCCUCAGUUUGGAGAACAGGAAAACACAUUUAAAGAAUUCCACAGUAAUUGCCAUAGGGCUAGAAAAAACUUAUAAUAAGAGAACAAAUCAAAAUCAGAACAAAAGAUAAAUGGAUGUAAAAUUAAACAAUAUUUAAAAAUCGAAUUGUUUACAAAACAUUAGCAAAAAUUUUCUUUCAAACUAAACUAUAGCAGUAUAGACAGACUUUUUUAUUGUGCAUCAAAAACUGAUCUGUUCCUAUCACCCUCACAAUGCUCAGAGAUCAUGCAUGUCUUAAACUAAAUAUCAACAUAACACCCAAUAGGCUUAUGGAAACAGAAAUUUAAAAUAUUUUGAUAUUUUUCCUAUUAAAAGAAGGCUGUUCCUGUUGGUUUCCCAAAUUUUUUCUUCACGUCUGAGUGUAACCCUUUGGCCUUAAGAAGCUUCACCUAUAAAACCCAGAUAAAGAUCAUAAAAGAACAUUAAAAAAAAUCACUAUCACAAUAAAGAUGAAGAGCCACCACAUUUCAGUUGAAAUAUCACACACUGCAACAACAUAUCUAUCAGGUCAGCAUCUAAUAAACACAUUAAAACAAACCUUCUUGUGUCACAUUCCUCAUUACACCAUUUUCCUUAACAAACAAGACGAUCUCCAAAAAAAAAGAACAAGAAAUGGAGCUCCAGAUCCAGUGAAAAUACGUUGAGAAAACAUCAAAUCAGAAACAGUAGAGAAGGUUAAAGAUCGAAUUGGACAGCAUAUCUGGAUGAAAGGUGCGGCGUCGUAAUGCGAGUGUAUGAGCUUUCUCAAAUGUAGAAGAACACGAGACGGAUAGAGAUCUAGGGUUAGGGCUUGAUACCUUUCGCUCUGGAGCCGAUAGAGAGGGGAGAUCUGAGAUUCCUGGACAAGAACCAGAAGCGUAGAAGCGUAGAAGGAAC
This 1150-nucleotide long non-coding RNA is filed under the name Vitis vinifera (wine grape). RNAcentral's name for it is "long non-coding RNA (VVIN_LNC005581)". Lineage: Eukaryota; Viridiplantae; Streptophyta; Magnoliopsida; Vitales; Vitaceae. The record is from RNAcentral.